UCGCAUCGCGACCCCA
This 16-nucleotide ribosomal RNA is filed under the name Koelreuteria paniculata (golden rain tree). Its description in RNAcentral is "partial 26S ribosomal RNA". The record is from RNAcentral. Lineage: Eukaryota; Viridiplantae; Streptophyta; Magnoliopsida; Sapindales; Sapindaceae. RNAcentral also lists the same sequence under 1 other name.